RNAcentral lists this ribosomal RNA (460 nucleotides) under uncultured bacterium. RNAcentral's name for it is "partial 16S ribosomal RNA". It matches the Rfam family "Bacterial small subunit ribosomal RNA", at positions 338 to 795 of the family's 1533-position model. The record is from RNAcentral.
CCUACGGGAGGCAGCAGUGAGGAAUAUUGGUCAAUGGACGAGAGUCUGAACCAGCCAAGUAGCGUGAAGGAUGACUGUCCUAUGGGUUGUAAACUUCUUUUAUAAAGGAAUAAAACGAGGCACGCGUGCCUGUUUGCAUGUACUUUAUGAAUAAGGAUCGGCUAACUCCGUGCCAGCAGCCGCGGUAAUACGGAGGAUCCGAGCGUUAUCCGGAUUUAUUGGGUUUAAAGGGAGCGUAGAUGGGUUGUUAAGUCAGUUGUGAAAGUUUGCGGCUCAACCGUAAAAUUGCAAUUGAUACUGGCAGUCUUGAGUACAGUUGAGGUAAGCGGAAUUCGUGGUGUAGCGGUGAAAUGCUUAGAUAUCACGAAGAACCCCGAUUGCGAAGGCAGCUUACUGAACUGUGACUGACAUUGAUGCUCGAAAGUGUGGGUAUCAAACAGGAUUAGAUACCCCUGUAGUC